Molecule: ribosomal RNA, 405 nt
Filed under: uncultured bacterium
Lineage: Bacteria
Description: partial 16S ribosomal RNA
Rfam family: Bacterial small subunit ribosomal RNA
Source: RNAcentral
AUUGAACGCUGGCGGCAGGCCUAACACAUGCAAGUCGGGCGGAGCGGCGGACGGGUGAGUAACGCGUGAGUAACUGCCCCCCUCUCUGGGAUAACAGUUGGAAACGGCUGCUAAUACCGGAUAGUGGGGGAUGACUCGCGUCCUAUCAGCUUGUUGGUGGGGUAGUGGCCUACCAAGGCGACGGCGGGUAGCCGGCCUGGGAGGGCGACCGGCCACAUUGGGCUGGGAUACGGCCCAAACUGCUACGGGAGGCAGCAGUGGCGAAUAUUGCACAAUGGGGGAAACCCUGAUGCAGCAACGCCGCGGGCGGGAUGACGGCCUUCGGGGUGUAAACCGCUUUCAGCCAUGACGCGGUAGUGGCAGAAGAAGCACCGGCUAACUACGUGCCAGCAGCCGCGGUAAUUC